UCGAGAAUUUUUCUCAAUGGGGGAAACCCUGAAGGAGCGACGCCGCGUGGAGGAUGAAGGUCUUCGGGUUGUAAACUCCUGUCAUUUGGGAACAAUGCUGCCGCAUUAACUGUGCGGUAGUUGAUAGUACCAGAAGAGGAAGAGACGGCUAACUCUGUGCCAGCAGCCGCGGUAAUACAGAGGUCUCAAGCGUUGUUCGGAUUCAUUGGGCGUAAAGGGUGCGUAGGUGGCGCCGUAAGUCAGGUGUGAAAUUUCGGAGCUUAACUCCGAAACUGCAUUUGAUACUACGGUGCUUGAGGACUGGAGAGGAGACUGGAAUUUACGGUGUAGCAGUGAAAUGCGUAGAGAUCGUAAGGAAGACCAGUGGCGAAGGCGGGUCUCUGGACAGUUCCUGACACUGAGGCACGAAGGCCAGGGGAGCAAACGG
RNAcentral lists this ribosomal RNA (427 nucleotides) under uncultured bacterium. RNAcentral's name for it is "bacterial SSU rRNA". It matches the Rfam family "Bacterial small subunit ribosomal RNA", at positions 355 to 775 of the family's 1533-position model. The record is from RNAcentral.